UUAAGUAGAUCAGGGCAGUGAUUGGAACACAGCUUUAGUCGCUGCUUGUGAGAACGAAGAUUUAAUAGCUAACCAUGGUUCCACCGGUGCAGGUCUCACCACUUAUCAAGGCUGCGAGAUGGUCUUUACUGCUGGUUGGAAUCGUCUAUGGAAAGCAGCGAUAUGAUCACCUGAAGCCGAUCGCUGCAGAGGAGAGACGAGUGGAGGAGGAGGAAAGAAAACAGACGGAGGAGCGAGAGAGGAUUUACAAACAGCUGGCUGAAGCUGAUUCGGACACCAUUCUGAAGUGAAACCUCGCAGCGAUCUCUUCAUUCACCUUCAACACAACGAUUACAUUAAUUGAAGAAAAUGAGAUCUCUAUAUUUUGUAAUAAAAUGUGUAAAAUGUA
Molecule: long non-coding RNA, 388 nt
Organism: Trichomycterus rosablanca
Lineage: Eukaryota; Metazoa; Chordata; Actinopteri; Siluriformes; Trichomycteridae
Exons: 4
Source: RefSeq, a predicted model, not a curated record